This 700-nucleotide ribosomal RNA is filed under the name Trametes sp. BAB-5170. RNAcentral describes it as "eukaryotic LSU rRNA". The stretch from base 234 to 387 matches the Rfam family "5.8S ribosomal RNA". The record is from RNAcentral. Lineage: Eukaryota; Fungi; Basidiomycota; Agaricomycetes; Polyporales; Polyporaceae.
GUUUCCGUAGGUGAACCUGCGGAAGGAUCAUUAACGAGUUCUGACAUGGGUUGUAGCUGGCCUUACGAGGGAUGUGCACGCCCUGCUCAUCCACUCUACACCUGUGCACUUACUGUGGGUUUGGGGUGGGCUUCGGGGGCCUUCGCGGGCUUUCGAGGCAUUCUGCCUGCCUUUGUAUCACUACAAACACUAUAAAGUAACGGAAUGUAAUCGCGUCUAACGCAUCUUAAUACAACUUUCAGCAACGGAUUUCUUGGCUCUCGCAUCGAUGAAGAACGCAGCGAAAUGCGAUAAGUAAUGUGAAUUGCAUAAUUCAGUGAAUCAUCGAUUCUUUGAACGCUCCUUGCGCUCCUUGUUAUUCCGAGGAGCAUGCCUGUUUGAGUGUCAUGUUAUUCUCAACCCACACAUCCUUGUGAUGUUCGUAGGGUUUGUACUUGGAGGUUUGCUGGCCGUCGCGGUCGGCUCCUCUUGAAUGCAUUAGCUUGGUUCCUUGCGGAUCGGCUCUCAGUGUGAUAAUUGUUUACGCGGUGCGACCGUGAAGCGUUUGGGGAGCUUCUAACCGUCCUGCUAGGGACAAACUUCCUUGACAUCUGACCUCAAAUCAGGUAGGACUACCCGCUGAACUUAAGCAUAUCAAUAAGCGGAGGAAAAAAAACUAACAAGGAGUCCCCUAGUAACUGCGAGAGAGGGGGGGAAAAAA